This 776-nucleotide ribosomal RNA is filed under the name uncultured Neocallimastigales. RNAcentral's name for it is "partial large subunit ribosomal RNA". It matches the Rfam family "Eukaryotic large subunit ribosomal RNA", at positions 24 to 635 of the family's 3401-position model. The record is from RNAcentral. Lineage: Eukaryota; Fungi; Neocallimastigomycota; Neocallimastigomycetes; Neocallimastigales.
UAUCUCUGUAGAGUCUGCAUAUCAAUAAGCGGAGGAAAAGAAACUAACAAGGAUUCCCUUAGUAACGGCGAGUGAAGCGGGAAGAGCUCAAAUUUGAAAUCUUCAGGGUUUUACCUUGACGAAUUGUAGUUUAAAGAAGUGUUUUCUGUUGGUGUUUUGGUAAAAGUUCUUUGGAAUAGGACAUCAUAGAGGGUGAGAAUCCCGUAUUUGACCAUUACUUCCAGCGUUGUGAUACACUUUCAAAGAGUCGGAUUGUUUGGGAAUGCAGUCCAAAAUGGGUGGUAAAUUUCAUCUAAAGCUAAAUAUUGGCGAGAGACCGAUAGCGAACAAGUAUCCGUGAGGGAAAGAUGAAAAGAACUUUGAAAAGAGAGUUAAACAGUAUGUGAAAUUGUCAAAAGGGAAGCGUUUGACACCAGUGUUGUUUUCUCGAAAAUCAAUUAAAAAAGGCAGGAUUUUGUGUUGUAUUGACUUUAUCAGCUUUCUGCACUCCUUUCUUGUCUUUUUUUAAUGCACUUUUCGUUUAACAAGUCAACAUCAAUUUCUUUUGUUGUAAAAGGGUCAUUGGAAGGUGGCUUUCUUUUCGGAGAAAGUGUUUAUAGCCUUUGGCCUCUGCAAUCGGAGAGAUUGAGGUCUGCAGCGUAGAUCCUUCUGGAUUAGAUACAUUUGUGCUAAAUUAUAGCCUUUCAUAGACAACUUGUUGACUAUGAUCAGUCAUGUAGCUUACUCGCUUAUGCUAUUUUACCUACGCUUAGGAUGUUGAAGAUGUAGCACAUCAU